UUGUUUAUAAUUUGCAUGUGCGUGGAACAUUCUGUGACGCACACUGGAUUCGCACAUACCCACGUUCAACCACACGCACAAACACACACAUACGUCACCCUUCGCAACUUGCCGGGCAUAGAACGUCUCCAUUCGCUCACAGUCUCACAAGACACCGUCAAGACUAUAAGGCACGCCUGACAAGAUGGAGGAGCGCGGUGAUGCCUUGAUGGCGGAGGCGGAGAAACAGCUGAAGAAGCGCUCGUGGUUCUCGUCGAGCGACACGAAAGUUGAUGAGGCGCACGACACGUUCCUGCAGGCUGCCACGCAGUACAAGGCCGCUGGCAAUUUCGCGAAGGUGGCCCAGGCGUACAAGCGCGCCUCUGAAAUGUCCCUCAAGAACAAGAGCGAGAGUGACCAGGCGGUGGAGAUGGAGGAGGCAGCAAAGGCAUUCGUCAAGGCCGGCGAUGCAAAGUCAGCAGCAGCCCUGCUCAGAGACGUGGUGGACAUGUAUGACAAGGCUCAGAAGUACACAAACGCAGCCAAGGCGUGCGCUGCGCUGGGCGACAUAACCAUGGGCGACGAGGCGAUGCGGUGGCUGCAACAGGCCGUGCGCUACUUCCGCAAUCAAGGUGCAAAGGUGACGGCCUCGGAGAUCGUGCUCAAGAUGGCGGACAUGAAGGCGCGCUCUGGCGACUACGCCGGGGCGCAGCAGAUCUACGACCAUCUUGCCCGCGAGGCGCUGGAGGACCGUGUGGCGCGCGGCAACGCACGCAAGCUGUUCUUUACGACUCUCUUGUGCCAGCUGGCCCUCAUGACGCCGGAGAGUCUUAUGGAGGAUGUAGACGUGCUCGAGGAGCGCUUUCAGGAGUACCAGGAGCUGGACACGCAGUUCAACAUGAACACACGCGAGCACAUGUUUGUGACGGACGUGAUUGCAGCGAUCCAAGGCGAGGACACGGCAAUGUUCGACGAGGCGGUUCGCGAGUACGACUCCAUCUGCCCCCUGGACGACCUUCGCGAGAAGAUGAUCCUCAAGGGGAAGCAGGCUCUUCGCGAGCGGAUAAGUGACCUGCGGUAGGCGAGGGUGCUGAGCACUGCACAGGCUUCUCCCACCCUUUCCCACCCUCUGCAUCCUCCUUUUCUCUCUACGAGGGCCACACUUUUCCUUCUCUUUUUGUUUUUUUUUUGUUCUGUCGUCUCGCUUCGGUCCUGUUACUGGCUCUCUCGCCCUACGGCUCUCAUCAUCAUCAUCUAUCGCUACGACGGCUCACUUCCCUAUCUCCGCUUUCCUUUACUCGUCUUCUCACGACACGCUCCUCGUGGCCUUAUUGCUAUGCUUGCCUUUUUGUUUUCCCUUUACUGCGUGCAUGUAUGUGUCCGUGUCUGCGUGACGAGUCCACAGAUCAGACAUCAGAAGUAAC
Molecule: unclassified non-coding RNA, 1403 nt
Filed under: Leishmania donovani
Lineage: Eukaryota; Euglenozoa; Kinetoplastea; Trypanosomatida; Trypanosomatidae
Description: gene:LdHU3.32.3820(CDS-product:SNAP_protein_putat ive)
Source: RNAcentral